Molecule: ribosomal RNA, 858 nt
Filed under: uncultured bacterium
Lineage: Bacteria
Description: bacterial SSU rRNA
Rfam family: Bacterial small subunit ribosomal RNA
Source: RNAcentral
UAACACAUGCAAGUCGAACGAUGAUGCUGGAGCUUGCUCCAGUUGAUUAGUGGCGAACGGGUGAGUAACACGUGAGCAAUCUGCCCUUGACUCUGGGAUAACUGCGGGAAACUGUAGCUAAUACCGGAUACUUUCACCGGAAGGCAUCUUCUGGUGAUGAAAGAAUUUCGGUCAGGGAUGAGCUCGCGGCCUAUCAGCUUGUUGGUGAGGUAACGGCUCACCAAGGCGACGACGGGUAGCCGGCCUGAGAGGGUGACCGGCCACACUGGGACUGAGACACGGCCCAGACUCCUACGGGAGGCAGCAGUGGGGAAUAUUGCACAAUGGGCGCAAGCCUGAUGCAGCAACGCCGCGUGAGGGAUGAAGGCCUUCGGGUUGUAAACCUCUUUUAGCAGGGAAGAAGCGAAAGUGACGGUACCUGCAGAAAAAGCACCGGCUAACUACGUGCCAGCAGCCGCGGUAAUACGUAGGAUGCAAGCGUUGUCCGGAAUUAUUGGGCGUAAAGAGCUCGUAGGCGGUUUGUCACGUCUGCUGUGAAAAUCCAAGGCUCAACCUUGGACUUGCAGUGGGUACGGGCAGGCUAGAGUGCGGUAGGGGAGAUGGGAAUUCCUGGUGUAGCGGUGGAAUGCGCAGAUAUCAGGAGGAACACCAAUGGCGAAGGCACAUCUCUGGGCCGUAACUGACGCCGAGGAGCGAAAGCGUGGGGAGCAAACAGGAUUAGAUACCCUGGUAGUCCACGCCGUAAACGGUGGGUGCUAGCUGUGGGUCACAUUCCACGUGAUCCGUAACGAAGUUAACACAUUAAGCACCCCGCCUGGGGAGUACGGCCGCAAGGCUAAAACUCAAAGGAAUUGACGG